Molecule: long non-coding RNA, 531 nt
Organism: Ruditapes philippinarum (Manila clam)
Lineage: Eukaryota; Metazoa; Mollusca; Bivalvia; Venerida; Veneridae
Exons: 4
Source: RefSeq, a predicted model, not a curated record
CCAUGGUACUAGUAUGCUAUAUUUUCAAUUACAGAAAUUAGUCAAUUUCAUCAUCAUCAUGUGUUGCAAUACCACUACCAGGGACAUCAAAGAUGACCUGGACUUCAGUGCAUAUGCAGAGGAGAGUAGCACUAAAGAAAGCCAAUAAAAUCCUUUUGGAGUUGAAUUGAGACACAACCAUUCAUUUCUGGUUUAGUUAUAAAACUGCUACAGACUAUAAACUAUUCAUGAUGAUGGAAUACACCAAUGCCUAGUACAAUCAUGGCCCAUUAGAAACCAGAACAAACCAUGGUGCAAAGGAAAUAAGAUGCACAUAGUCUGAAAGAUCUGGCUGGUGUUCUGAAUAAGAUGACAUAAUAUCUCAACUGCAGAAGUACAGCUGGCAUGGAGGGGUUUCACCAGCACAUCUUGAUGUAUUGUACCCAAAAAGAUUUGCUUACACACCACCUGUUUAUAGGAUGCACAAUCUUCUAGCAGCCAUAGAUUAUAAUAUACAUGCAAAUAGACCAUACAUCACCAACAAGGGGGAUC